Spodoptera frugiperda (fall armyworm) is the source of this 1364-nucleotide long non-coding RNA. RefSeq lists it as uncharacterized. NCBI's taxonomy places the organism in Eukaryota, Metazoa, Arthropoda, Insecta, Lepidoptera, Noctuidae. The record is from RefSeq and is a predicted model, not a curated record. The transcript has 2 exons.
GCCGGCAACGCACCUGUAACUCCUCUGGUGUUGCAGGUGUCCAUGGGCGGCGCUGAUCGCUUACAAUCAGGUGACACGUCUGCUCGUUUGCCACCUAUUCCAUAAAAAAAAUAUGAGCAAAAUGUUCACUCUGGAAUUGAAGACACCCAAGUUGCUCCAUAUCUUACGUCUUAAUAUCAACAAUAUGAUAAUAUGUAUCAAAAAUAAAACCGAAUAAACAAUGCCUACACUCGCAUUGGGUAAACACUCAUACAAAUUCGAUUAAUUAAAUCUAUCUCGCAGUUUUAGGCAAUACAGAUAUCACAACAUCGUCCCGACUGAGAUCAUUUGUGUUAAUUGAUCAGAACAUUCAGACGUGUUUGAUAAUAAUUAUUCUACAUCACAGUCGAAUUUAAAGUACGAGAAGUAUAAAAUAAAAUGGAGAUGAAGAUUGUUGAAGAAGAUCCAACCAUGUCGACAAUGGAUAUUUGUAUGUAUAUUUUAAAAAUAACGCUGUGGGUCGGAACUGUAUCAUCAGUGAUUACGUUCAUCUACGGAGUGGUGUCAUGGUGUCUCAUCAAGAAGUUCAGGAACUUUAGAAACUAUGUGCUUCUCGGGCCUAUCUUGGCGAUCACGAUGUGCUGUUUGGCUGCACAUGUACAAGUCUUCAUACUUGCCUCGAAGCCACACCUUGCAGAAACUAUUAUCUUUACCGCCAUAUACGCCUUCCUUUUAUACUUCGCCUUAGUCUUCUAUUGUUUUUUGAUUGUGCUUUGUUACAUCUUCUAUGUUGAUUACGUUAAAGUUUUACAUUUGAAAAUCAAUAACAAAUAUCUUAUUUGUAGCCUAUUUGUCUGGUGUUUCCCGUUCGUUGAAAUUUUUGUAUUUUUCCUAACACGUUUUUUGACAAAUACUUAUCUGUUUCCCCAAUUGUUUUUAAGUUUUGAUGUUUUAUAUAUCUGGGUUUUACCGUUGUUAUUGAGUGUGAUUUGUUAUUUCCUAGUUGUGUAUUCUGUAUUCUGUGGUCACAAAUCAGAGUCGUGGACAUCAAUUAAAAGAUUGGGCCACUUUGGUAUAGCCACGUUUAUAUUUGCAUUCAGUAAUUUCUCUAUAAUAGUACAUUUAUCUAGAGUGUUGGAUAGAGAUGAUUUUAUACUUUUAAUGGUUGGACAAAUACAGCAUUACAUGGUAGCUUUAUUUAUAUGUAUUUAUUUAAUAGUUGUGAGGAGGAAUAGAAUGUUGUGGGGGGAGUUUCUGAAUAAGAAACCGAUACAGACCUCAACAGAUAUGAGUUGAUUGUUUACUAUUUUAGGACUGAUAUGUAUUGUAAUAUUUAAUAUGUAUACCAAAUUUAUAUUAUACGAUUAAUAUAUUUUACUCUUUGA